RNAcentral lists this ribosomal RNA (263 nucleotides) under uncultured archaeon. RNAcentral describes it as "partial 16S ribosomal RNA". It matches the Rfam family "Archaeal small subunit ribosomal RNA", at positions 748 to 1008 of the family's 1478-position model. The record is from RNAcentral.
AGGGUGUAAACGCUGCAGACUUGGUGUUGGAGGCCCGUUUGGGGGGCAUUCAGUGCCGGAGAGAAGUUGUUAAGUCUGCUACUUGGGGAGUACGUCCGCAAGGAUGAAACUUAAAGGAAUUGGCGGGGGAGCACCGCAACGGGAGGAGCGUGCGGUUUAAUUGGAUUCAACACCGUAAACUCACCAGGGAAGACUGUUACAUGAAGGCCGAGAUGAAGACUCUGCUAGAUUUUUCAGAGAGGAGGUGCAUGGCGUCAGUGACU